AGAGGACUGAGCUAGGAGCGCAAAGGUCUGGAGGAUGAAUGCAUUUGGAGUGGUCAGCAAGGGGUGCCCAGCUGCAACUUGAAAAAUUUUGCAAGAGGAGAGAAACUCCAUGAAACAAAAUACACAUGGAAAAAUCGCUCCUUUUUUUCAAAAUAUUUACAGCUUAACAUUUACAGGCCACCCAAAGUGUGGUGGUCAGCGGUCCGCAGCCUGCUGGCCCCAUGGUGAGGCGUCGGUGAUCAGAGGGCUGCGGGGACUGCGCGCAGGGCUCCUGGGGAGGGGGGGGGGGCAGGGCUUCUGCUGGCCUCUGUCCUGGUUAGUUUUGGCUCCAGGUACGUGGCUAUGGGACUGAUUACCACCAGAGCCAUCCGCCACGGAAACCACAGAAACGAGCUAACCUUUCCUCCCUCGAAGUAGAGAAAAGCAGGCUUGUGUACGGGUGGAGGGGGGCGGAGAGGGAUGUGGACAGAGAGGGAGGGGUGGUGUAAGAACUCUUGUAGUCAUAAGGCUCGCCAGUUGGUAGUUACUAGUAUUCCAGACGCUUCCUAAUGCCAGACAAAUGCCCGGAGCCCAGGCUUGUCUGGCUCAGAGAUCUAUUCAGCCGAUAGCAGCCCGGCCCUGGUGGGGAGAGCAGAUCUUUCAGGGAGCAGCCUCCAUGGCUAAUCAAACACAACAUUGUUCUCAGAAGGAAGAAUGGAAAGGUUUGUUUCAGGAGCAUAGCUUUUUUUUUUUUUUUUCCUUUUGAGGCACCCGAGUUAUUUUAACAAGUUGCUACAAAACUUGGGCUUCCUGAGGCGAGGCUGUCCUGCACAGUGCAUGUUCUGUCCCAAACUCCAGGGAGGGAGGGACCCGAAAAUUAGUCAUUAAAAAAAAAAAAAAAGCCCCAGGCACUUCAUGCCUGGAAAUGAUGUAAGACGCAGCCACUCCUCUGUUAGAACUACAACCAAACAAUGCUCGGCGAUCGCGGCAGCUGCUCUCCAAAUGUCAGCGCCAAGCCCGGCCAAAGGGCUGGAAGGCCACCGAGCCCAGGACUUUGUGCGCUACCUUUGUCGCCCACAUUUUCCCCAAGCACUCUCAGGACCCUGGCAACAGGUAACGUGGCAACCUUUGCCUUCUAAAACGGCAAGCGGCAGGAUUUCAGAGAACAAAAGGAUUUUUUGAAAGCCAGCUGCAUCUCCCUCGCCACCCCCUACCCCCCCCUCUCCCCCCCCCCCCCCCCCUCCCCCACCCCAAGUAUGAGAAAACAAAGUAUUGCUGCGGCAGCCCGGCUCUCGAGCGCCCCCUGAUGACCAAGCUCGGAACAUCACCGAUGUACCUUUCAAGGUACAACUUAAGUCCGAGGCUCCCAGAACAAGCCCCGCACUGCCUCCUGGUGUGGAUUACACUUUACUUUUCGAAAGGAACCAUGGAUAGUAAAGCGAAAUCAUUUUGAUUCUUUUGGAUUUCUACUGUCGUAGGUGAAAGGUUUUAUUCAUCAAUUCUUUGAAAAACCAGCUAUACCCACUGCAAACCUACCAAAUGAGAGGAUGUUAAGCUGUUCAGUGGGUUGUACGUUUGGGGCCUUGUUUGGAAUUUCAAGCUCAUGUUACGGGACUGGCCCGUGGUUGCAAUUUACACCGUUUAUCAGUAGGAUUGCUGAAGUGCUGAGGUGCCAGAAUGCGGAAACACUGGAGGAGACCCGCGCUGGUCUUUGGAUCAACAUUAAUUACCAAUAAAGAGUUAGGAAAUUGAUCACAGGGAAGGGAAGCAUGUUAAUGGCCACCGCUCAAAGGUUCAGCCCCGUUCAGUUACUGAUAACCUUGCGACGUCUCCAGAUAAAAGCCAGCCUUGUCACCCCCAGGCACCUGGCUGAGAGGUAAUAAAACUGUUGCCUUAUCUUCUAAGAGUGGAGUUGGUCCAACCUCAGUCCGAGGUAAUUACAGUAAACUGAAAUUGCCUGUCAUUUACAAAAAAGGGAAGGCGUAAGGCGGGAGAUGGUGUUUGUCUCUCUCCUUGGAUUUUAAAAAGAAAGCAAGCAAAACAGCCAGAAGUUUUCCAGGGAGUGAGAAAAACAGCCCGGCUUGGCCACCCUCUCCUGGGGGUAACGGAUUGCAGGCGGCUCAGGUCCCCGUGACGAUCUGAAAGAGAGGCUCACGCUGAUGAAAAUCCAAGCAAUCUUCUUAGUCUGUCCUUUCUAAAUGUAAAUGACAGAGUCGGAGCCCUGCUAGGGAGGGCAGGAAGUCUCAGUCUUACCCAGUGACUCAUUCAGUGCUGUUAGCUCCAGAAGCUGGAUAAAAAGUUUUAGCAAAAGCAGCAACAAAUCUACUUUAAAUACUAGCACAGUAAGGAAAUUCCUCUCUUUCAGGCCGAAUGCCAUCCACACAAUAGAGCUCCUGUCGACAUCUCAUUUACAAUCUACCCCCAGGACACAGACAGGACCAUUUCCAUAAACCCGGCUCAGAAACACCUAUUGUUCAAAAUCUUCAACUAGCCACAGGCUACCACCACUCCCUAUUGUUUUGUAAAAUAAAAGAUUUCGAAGGAGCCAGAUUGGGACCUGGAAGCUCUGAAAAGAGGAAGGAAAAAAGUCCCUUUGACCCGAUGCUGUUGGAGAACGUGCUUGAAGAAUAAAGUUAAUGGAUUUUCAUUUUUACAAGAAGUGCAUAAGCAACGCCCGCUCCCUUCCUGAACUCGUGAUCGGGGAUUCUGAAAGCAGUGCCAACGGGUUUGGUACCUGAAAAGUCAAAGGCUCUACUUACCCUAUUCUCUGUCUUACAAAAGCCCUGAUGGCAGCCACAGCAAAGCACCAGCCAGUAAGCCGGGUGUACCCCUGCUCCUGUGCAAAAGACCUGUGAAACUCUGAAGCUAUACUUGUACACAGAUGUGAUCCGAUGAUGCCAUCUCAUCUCCAUGGCAACCAGGUGUCUCAGUUAUCUAGUCUGGUGCCAGGGCAUCGGAGACCUGCCACCACCAUGCUGUUCCCCAUCACUCAGUUCCAAAUUUAUGAGAUUGCCUCAGUCCCUUAGGUAUUUGUUCUCUGAAAGGUAAAAAUGUAGCUAGUCUGAUAAAAUAAUGCAUUGGAGGAUGGCUGGGGGGCGGGGGACGGGGGAUUGCAUUUUUAAAAGAAUUCUUGCAAACAUUUCCUUCGUCCAGAGUAAUAAAUACCUGUUUAAAAAGAGGGUCUCUGACGAACUUAUGGUUAC
Molecule: long non-coding RNA, 3182 nt
Organism: Aethalodelphis obliquidens (Pacific white-sided dolphin)
Lineage: Eukaryota; Metazoa; Chordata; Mammalia; Artiodactyla; Delphinidae
Exons: 4
Source: RefSeq, a predicted model, not a curated record